This 1522-nucleotide ribosomal RNA is filed under the name uncultured bacterium. Its description in RNAcentral is "16S ribosomal RNA". It matches the Rfam family "Bacterial small subunit ribosomal RNA". The record is from RNAcentral.
UUAGAGUUUGAUCCUGGCUCAGAACGAACGCUGGCGGCGUGGAUAAGACAUGCAAGUCGAGCGGGGAUUUUCUGAUAGCAAUAUUGGGAAGUCCCAGCGGCGCACGGGUGCGUAACACGUGAGCAACCUGCCCUGAAGUGGGGGAUAGCUCGCCGAAAGGCGAAUUAAUACCGCAUGUGGCCAUCUCCUUCGGGAGAGAAGCUAAAGCAGCAAUACGCUUCAGGAUGGGCUCGCGGCCUAUCAGCUUGUUGGCGGGGUAACGGCCCACCAAGGCUUUGACGGGUAGCUGGUCUGAGAGGACGACCAGCCACACUGGGACUGAGACACGGCCCAGACACCUACGGGUGGCAGCAGUCGAGAAUUUUUCUCAAUGGGGGAAACCCUGAAGGAGCGACGCCGCGUGGAGGAAGAAGGUCUUCGGAUUGUAAACUCCUGUCAUUCGGGAACAAGAAAGUGAUAGUACCGGAAGAGGAAGGGACGGCUAACUCUGUGCCAGCAGCCGCGGUAAUACAGAGGUCCCAAGCGUUGUUCGGAUUUAUUGGGCGUAAAGGGUGCGUAGGCGGUCGGGUAAGUCAUGUGUGAAAUCUCGGAGCUCAACUCCGAAACUGCACGCGAUACUGCCCGGCUCGAGGAGUGGAGAGGAGACUGGAAUUCUCGGUGUAGCAGUGAAAUGCGUAGAUAUCGAGAGGAACACCUGUGGCGAAGGCGGGUCUCUGGACACAUCCUGACGCUGAGGCACGAAGGCCAGGGGAGCAAACGGGAUUAGAUACCCCGGUAGUCCUGGCAGUAAACGGUGCGCGUUUGGUAUGGGGAGACUAGACCCUCUCCGUGCCGGAGCUAACGCGUUAAACGCGCCGCCUGGGAAGUACGGCCGCAAGGCUAAAACUCAAAGAAAUUGACGGGGGCCCGCACAAGCGGUGGAGUAUGUGGCUUAAUUCGAUGCAACGCGAAGAACCUUACCCAGGCUUGACAUGCAUCUCUAAGUUGGUGAAAGCCAGCGAGUGUAGCAAUACACAAUUUGCACAGGUGCUGCAUGGCUGCCGUCAGCUCGUGUCGUGAGAUGUUGGGUUAAGUCCCGCAACGAGCGCAACCCCUGUGUCCUGUUGCCACCCGCCAAAACGGAGCACUCUGGACAGACUGCCUGGUAAAGCCAGGAGGAAGGUGGGGACGACGUCAAGUCAGUAUGGCCCUUACGCCUGGGGCUGCACACGUACUACAAUGCCCGGCACAAUGGGAUCCAAAACCGCGAGGUGGAGGAAAUCCAAAAAACCGGGCUCAGUUCGGAUUGGAGGCUGCAACUCGCCUCCAUGAAGCUGGAAUCGCUAGUAAUGGCGCAUCAGCUACGGCGCCGUGAAUACGUUCCCGGGCCUUGUACACACCGCCCGUCACAUCAUGGGAGUCGCUUGUACCCGAAGUGCGUACGCCAACCGCAAGGAGGCAGCGCCAUAAGGUAUGAGUGGUAACUGGGAUGAAGUCGUAACAAGGUAGCCGUAGGGGAACCUGCGGCUGGAUCACCUCCUUA